This 536-nucleotide ribosomal RNA is filed under the name Aspergillus flavus. RNAcentral describes it as "eukaryotic LSU rRNA". The stretch from base 164 to 317 matches the Rfam family "5.8S ribosomal RNA". The record is from RNAcentral. Lineage: Eukaryota; Fungi; Ascomycota; Eurotiomycetes; Eurotiales; Aspergillaceae.
CGAGCCCAACCUCCCACCCGUGUUUACUGUACCUUAGUUGCUUCGGCGGGCCCGCCAUUCAUGGCCGCCGGGGGCUCUCAGCCCCGGGCCCGCGCCCGCCGGAGACACCACGAACUCUGUCUGAUCUAGUGAAGUCUGAGUUGAUUGUAUCGCAAUCAGUUAAAACUUUCAACAAUGGAUCUCUUGGUUCCGGCAUCGAUGAAGAACGCAGCGAAAUGCGAUAACUAGUGUGAAUUGCAGAAUUCCGUGAAUCAUCGAGUCUUUGAACGCACAUUGCGCCCCCUGGUAUUCCGGGGGGCAUGCCUGUCCGAGCGUCAUUGCUGCCCAUCAAGCACGGCUUGUGUGUUGGGUCGUCGUCCCCUCUCCGGGGGGGACGGGCCCCAAAGGCAGCGGCGGCACCGCGUCCGAUCCUCGAGCGUAUGGGGCUUUGUCACCCGCUCUGUAGGCCCGGCCGGCGCUUGCCGAACGCAAAUCAAUCUUUUCCAGGUUGACCUCGGAUCAGGUAGGGAUACCCGCUGAACUUAAGCAUAUCAAUA